CUUGGUUAAAAUUUUAUAGGAAAAUUCUUCCUUCUAGAAGCAAUAUUGGCGGAUAAACUCCCUCCAAGUCUCCAACUCCUCCAAGUGCAUAUAAAAAAAAAGUGAAAAAUCGUAGUAAAACUUCUAAAGUGGAAAAUAACUUAUGAUCCAUACCAGAAAAUACCAUUAUCUUCUGAUUUCAAGCAUUUAUCCAUCAUCUACCUUACUCUAUUCUCUUACUCAAGUGGGAAAUCUCAAAUUCAUAGGGAUUGACCCAUUUUGAUGAGUUCUACAAGUAGCUGAUGGCAUUGUCCUCUUUCGUGGAAAUUUGGGAAUUGAUCUCCCACUAGAGAAGGUCUAGUUCUUUUUCCCAUGGUGUUUUUGGAAAAUUAUGUGUAUUUCUUGAAUGUGAAUCAAGGUUUUAAUGAAGCAAUUUAAACAAUCUACAGACAAUGGUAUUUUUAUUCCAAAAGGCUGCUCUGCUCAAGUGUAACAUGGCUGGUAAGCCAGUAGUGGUUACUCGUGUGGUGGAUAGCAUGACCGAUAACCUUAAUUAGACCCACACGAGCUGAGGCAUUUGAUGUUGCAAAUGCUGUAUUAGAUGGGAGUAAUGCAAUUAUUCUAGGUGCAGAGACCUUUCGUAGCUUAUAUCCAGUUGAUACCAUCUCUACUGUUGGCAGAAUGUGUUUUGAGGGUAAGCAGCUUGCUUGACAACAAGAUGAAGAUUGUUAGCUAAUGGAAUGAAUUUCUACAAGUGAUUAAUCUGCCAUUGAUUUCAUCGCUAAAGAGAAGGAUUUUUUGUUGACGUUUCGUUUGAGAAGGAGGUUGCUAAUUGGAUUAAGAAUGUGAGAGAAUAGCUUAAGGUGAAACAAGGCUAUUGUUGUUGCAUUUGCUGAGUGUUGCUGCAUCUGCUUCUGCUUCGUUUCAUAUUUCAGAUUAUGUGUCGUGUAUGUCAGGACAGAUGUGGUUGUAUAUGGGAACAUAUGCGCUUGAUGCUGUAGUUGUUUGUUUUGUUGUCCAUACGAUGCUGCUACUGCUGUUGUCUUGAUCAUUCCAAUGUAAUCAAUGUCCAUAUGUUGCUGCUGUUUUCAUUUGUUAUACAGGCUUCCAGCCAUGUUUGAAACUUCUAUUUAUUUGUAAAGAAUUUGCAAUGUAUAAUUUACACAAGUUUUAUGAGAAUAACCUCUUGUAAGUAUAUGUUAUACUAUCUGCAAUUCUGCAUUAUUAA
Molecule: long non-coding RNA, 1207 nt
Organism: Chenopodium quinoa (quinoa)
Lineage: Eukaryota; Viridiplantae; Streptophyta; Magnoliopsida; Caryophyllales; Amaranthaceae
Exons: 5
Source: RefSeq, a predicted model, not a curated record